AUCGCCUUCACCUCAGGUUUCUUCUGCUCUUCUUUAGGAACAGUUACAGUGAGCACUCCAUCCUCCAUAGCUGCCUUAAUUUCCCCCAUCUUCGUAUUCUCCGGCAGCCUAAAUCUCCUUAAAAACUUGCCACUGCUCCUCUCCAUACGGUGCCACUGAUCAUUCUUCUCCUCUUGUUCUCUGCUCCUCUCACCGCUUAUCUGUAGUAUCCUUCCUUCUUCAACUUCGACUUUCACUUCCUCUUUCUUGAUCCCCGGCACGUCUACUUUGAAGAUGUGAUCUUGUGGGGUCUCUUUCCAAUCGAUUCUUGCAUUUGCGAAAGCAGAGGUUUCACGAGCUGAGGAGGGGGUGUUAGCGAUUGUGCUUGAAAUUGGGAAGCCUUCGAAUGGAUCCCAUAAGUCGAGGGAAAAUGGGUCGAAGAUGUUGCUCCUGCGACCAUCGAAGAAGCUUGGAAUCAGAGACAUCUUGGGGAAUUUGUUGUUUGAAGAAAGCAAAAGAUUGUAUUAUGAAGCUUGAGUUUUUCUUUGAUAGUAGUGUUUGAUUUGCUGAUAUAAAUUUGAGAAAAUGUUGUGCUAUUUAUAGGCGAUGAACCAAGAAACCUGUGUAAUUCCAAUAUAAUCAAGGAUGUUCACCAGAGAAUUCAACAAUAUUCUACAACUUCUUAUCCAAUUUGAGGCUAAUCCAGGAUGUUCUUUGGUUAAUUUUUAAUAGGAAAAAUAAGAGGCUUCUACAAUAUUCCAGAGAAUUUUUUUCUGAAGCGUUUAAGUCAUAAUUUCAGUAGUGCAUACAAAGGUAAAAUGACUCGGGAGGCUUUGUAAUUGACUCUGUUUGUUAGCUGAAUCCGUCCAACUCCCUCCACAAUUGUCAAUUGAACUCCUAAAUCUCCCGUGGUAAGCCCGGCCCAAAGUCAAGAUAUAAACAUAAUAAUGUAAAUUUAAAAAUAUAAUUUAUAUCAUAUAUUUUUUUACUUUAUAAUUAGUAUAAUCAGAUGGCAUAUUAAACAUAUCUUAUUGAUAAGUUUUCAUAAUUAGUAAAAUACUGAAUCACAUAAUUGGAUAAAUUUUUUUUAAAUCUAAUUUGUGAGGACGAAAAUAUUACCAGAGUAUUAUAAUAUAUCAAAAUGCUACAAGUAAUUCGAUAUUUUAUAAAAUAAUAUGAUUUAAAAUAUGUAAUAAUUAGGAUUCAAAGAAGAUCACAAUAGAAAAUAUUGAUAUUUUUAUAAAUUUGUGGGUACGUAAUUAUUUAGUUAUAUAUAGAAAUAAAUUAUAUUUAUUGAGUUUUAGUUUCUCUCGUGUGUGAUUUCAGUAGCAAGACUUUUACAACAUAUUCUUUUUCAUCUUAUAGAAUUAUCUGAAAUAAAAUAUUUCAAUGACUUCAAGAUUAUAUUAUAACAAUUAUAUCCUUAAUUUAGAGUCAUUAUAUAAAUUAACUUAAUAAUGAUCUAUAAGAAUAUUAAACAAUAAUUAAACUAACAUUAAUAGAUUACUCCAUUUGGUCGAUUUAGUUGUUAUGUAUAUUUUUAUAUGCCCCUUAAAAUAAUACCUAUUCACUCCAUUUUAAUUAUUUCUUUAUCUUUUUUCAUAUCCACCAAGAAUUAUAUUAUUUAUUAAGUUAUUUUAUGUAUUAUAUAUGUCUGGAGGGUCGAAUAUAAUAUUAGAAAAAUCUAUAAGGUAAUAGUUGAAAUCAUUAUAAAAUUUAAUUUUAUAUUAAGUUAUCUUGAAUAAUUUUUUUGAGUUAAAGAUAUUGUUGAAUUAAGAUAAAGGAAAUUUUAAUUAAAAGACAAUCUAGCAAGUGGCAAGAAGAAACCAAUUACAAAAUUUUAAAUCUAAUGAUCUUAACAAGAAAAAUAAGGGCAAAAAUAAAAAUAUAUUAAAAAAAUCACCAUCACUUGCUAUGUGUAAUAACCUUAUUUGACCAAAAAAAUAAAAUAUCAAAAAUGCCCUUGUGAAGACUAUCGAAAAUUGAUAUCCUCUCUUAUAUAUAGUAUAGUAGUAAUAUAUAUAUAUAUAUAUAUAUAUAUAUAUAUGAAGAAGCUUCAAGGUUUAAGUUGAAAAUCACCAAAAUAAAAAAAUUGUAUGGACUACAAUAGAUAAGAAAAAUAUCUUAGGAACACAAAAUCAAGGACUCGUACCAAUUACAAACAAGAUAGGAGUAGUAUUUGUUAUAUCUUGAGCAUUACCAGCCGAAGCUAUGGACUCAAAAUCUAUCACCCAAGACCCACAUCGUCACUUCGUUUGUUUCCUCCGAUCCAACAUUUAUAUGUGAUUAAGUUGCGUAGAGCGGCAGAGGUAAACCUUGCAUGGACCCUUACACUUUGUUUGGAUGGUGGUUUGCUAUGAUUUCAUAAUAUACGCUACAGUAUGAGAUGGUAUGGUAUUGUACUUUGGAUGGUUGGAAUAUACUAAAAUAUCCCUAUGAAAUUAUUUUAUUCAAUCACUUAUUCCAGGAACUAAGUAAUAUGAAUACCAGCUACAAAUUGUAUAUCUCAAAAUUAUUAUCCUUAUCUCACCAAUCAAACAAUCCAAAUUUUUUUUUAACUUAACAAUGCAUAUAUAUAUUUUUUCAAAAUUAUUAUCCUUAUCCCACCAAUCAAACAACCAACCCGAAGGUUUUCAUAAUUUGACAACGCAUAUAUAUAUAUAUCUUUUGCGAGGUGACGAUAUGAAAGCAGUAUUAGUCCUGUAUGUAAAGUGAACGGGCUGAUGAUUUCAGAAACUUCAUUUAAAUAGAGAAAUAAUACCGGAUAUUUUCAUACAUAUGCAAGGAUAACAAUUCCCAAAAUUCUAUAAAGUUCAUUAAGUGUUGCAAGUCGAAAUUGUUCUAAAUAUAUCCCGUAACAAACUAACAAUCCAUUGGCUACUAAUUUUACAUCGAAAAACCGUCAUAUGUAAAUCUCAAUACCAAGAUCAAAAUUUUAGCAAAAGAGUGAUCUCCAUAGGUUAAGGCUCCUUCAAACAAAGUUCAGAUUUACUAAAUUAACAAAGCACUACUCUUCUUAGUGAAAAAUCAUCACCCAAUCUAGAGACUAAUUUUUUUAAAAAAGUUUUCCUUCUACGCUUGUCUUUAGAUCAUUUAAAAAAGUGAAAACUAAUCAAAUCAGUUAUCUCAAGGAAUCAACACGCUUCUUUCCAUCAAAAAUUGUCUUUUAACUUCUCAUCACAAAUUAUCACCUUCUCGUUUUGACGACCCUACAAAGGUAACAUAUGGCUAAGUAUCAACCCAACUAUAUAUAGAUAGAUGGUAACCCCCAUAAAGAAAGAACAAGUAGAAAUGCACUUCAAACAGUGGAGUACAGUAGAAGAAAGCAUGGCCGCCUUUUUACGUAUCACCCAAUACGAAUUAUAAGUGCAAUGCAGAAUAUACGGUAUUAGUAAUACUUGCAUUAGUAAUGCUUAUAUUAAUUAGUUAUAUUGAUAUUGUUUCUUAUACAUUAUUUAAUUUGACAUGUUAAAAAUAAUAUAUCUUAUAUAAUUUAUAUAAAAGAAAUAUUUAUUUAUAAAACUAUCCUUCUUUGAUUUAUUACAUUUUUUUCAACAAAAUUCGUUUGCCAUCUCAAACAUAAUUAGUGUUGUUGAACUAGUAUAUAGAGGUUUAGGAUUAAUUGCAAGACCGUCGUCUUUACGCAUGAAAUGUUAUGCAGGCGGAUUAACAUAAUCGAAACAAAAAUAAAAUACAAGAUAUAGAAUAAAGGAAUAGUCUCAAUUUUUUUAUUUAAUUUUUUUAAAGACCCUCGAAGCAAAGCAAAGAUGCAGUUAUUUAAACCAACAAUUCAUUAUUGGAAAUUAAAAUGGUGGAAAAAGAUAUUUUAAUAUGUUUUGAAAAGAUUUACUGUUGCAAAUUAAAAUGGUGAAAAAAAAAUUGUGAAAUAUUUUGAGAGAAAAAUUGGAUAUAUUAAGGUCAUUUAAUAGGUUAAUGCAUGUCUUUAAAGUUUUUGUAUUACUAAUACAUAGGAAAUGGUGUGUAUUACUAAUACACAUCUCAAUAUACAAUAGAAUAUAUAUCUAAUGUUUGUAUUAGUUAUAUAUAGGCAAAAAGAUGUACCAAACAAGGUACUAGUAACACACAUUAACUAAUGCAUGCAUUAUAUUUUCCAAUAUGCUCUACCGAACGAUCCUGGUACAAAGAGAAGUUAUCCAUGAUUAACAAUACUGGAAUUAGCAAUGUAAAAAUUGCAGUGCUGAAAUUAUUUUUCAUCAAGUAUUUGAUUCAUUAUAUUAAAAAUUAGAUAUAUCAUGUAUUGUAUUUGAAUUUAAAGUUGUACAAAAUCUUCUUCAGAUUUAUAUCCUUAAAUUUCUGUAGAAUUUUUUUACUUUAUUUAACUAAUGGAAAAUGGUCAAAAGCCCUCCCCCAAACCUUUACCCCAAAUCCCAACUACGCACUCAACUUUUAAAUGUGACCUAUUACCCCCGGAACUAUUUUAAAGUAGAAUUAUUAUCCCCUGAAUUAUUUUAAAGUGAAAUUAUUACCCCCCUCCCUCCCCCUUCCCCAAAAACCCCCCUCCCCUCCCGAAAAUUGACAACCAGUCAUUUGAAAUGUGGUGUGAUACACGCGCUGCCACGUCAUUUUUUUAUUUACUCUAAAAAAGUUAAUUAUUUAACUUUAUUAUUUUUUUUCUUCCCCAUUUUUCAUUUUGCUCCAUUUUCUUCUUCAAUCAAUUUCAUCUUCUUGGGUCAAAUAUAGAAUUCUUGGGAAAAAAAAUGACGGAUUAAUGAAGUUCUUGAAUGACGGGUUAAUGAAGUUCUUGAAUGGGGUUUUAAUGAAGUUCUUGAACCUAAUUUCAUCUCUUUUUGCUCAAGAUCACCAUUAGUGGCGAAUUCUUCCCCAUUGUGGAAAUUCAAAGCUUUGAACUCGCCAUUAAUGAUGGAUCUUGAGUAAAAAUAGAGAAAAUCGAAAAAAUGGGUUGAACAUUAUACGUGGGUUAUGUUGGAAAUUAUGUAUGGCAUUGUGGAAAUUCGAAGCUUUGAGCUUGCCAUUAAUGGUGAUCUUGAGCAAAAAGAGAGGAAAUCGAAGUUGAAUUUUUUCAAGUUUUUUGAAUCGGAGUUCCCCAACUUCUUCAUUCAAGAAUUCAUUAAUCGGAGAAAUCUUAUUGUUUCCUUAGUUCAAGUGUUUCUUGGUUUCGAUUUCAGAGCAAAGAGAAUUUCUUGAUUUCGGAGAAAUCCAUUAAUGAGGAAGAUGAGAAACCCCAUUAAUGAGUUCUUAAAUUUUUGUUUUAAAAAAGAAAAGAAGAAGACAUGACGUGUCAAUUAAAAUUCAUUAAGAAAAAGUAAUAAUUAAAAUAUUUAUUAUAUUAUUAAAAAUAAUGACGUGACAAUAAAAAAUAAAGAAUUUAAAGUGAAAUGGGGUCAACUGACGCGCCCAUGGGCGAGUGUAGUCACGUCCAAUGACAGGUCAGCAAUUGGUGGUAAUAAAUUCGAUAAAAAUAAUUUUAGGGGGAUAAUAGGUCACUUUUAAAGGUUGAGUGCGUAGUUAAGAUUUCGACUAAAGGUUGGACGGUAAUAGACCAUUUUCUCUUUAACUAAUCAAAUUACUCACUUUUUAUGCGAUCUUAUAAAAAAGUUAAAAUAUAAAUAAUAAUUCUUACUCCGCUUAAUUAAUUAUUUACUUAUUUUUUAAAAAAUUGGGCCUAGUUGAUUUAAAAAAAAUUUAAACAGUAAAAAUAUAUUGUAUAAGAACAACAUGGAUUAUUGAUAAUGUAGUUUCAUAAUUUUAAAUUAUAUAUUUAUUGACAAUAAUCUACUCGUUUUAAAUCAGUCAGUCUAUAAAUUGAAUAAUUACAAAUAGAAUAAAUGUUAGCUUACGUUUGAAGCUAUCAAUCAACAUGAGAGAGAAAAUGACAUUUAGGUGCAAAUUAAAUAUGGUAUAACCAUUAAAUUUGAGGUUAGAUUUAAUAUGAAAAUAAAAGAAAGCUUUUAUUAAAAAAGUAGUUAAAUUAUUUAAUUCUCUUAUUUAUAUAUUAUUAAACAACGUAUAAAUAAUUUUAUGAUUUUUAAAGUAUAGAUAAUCUACUCUAUAGUGUAUAAGUGUGUAUAAGUUAUUCAUGUAUUAGCUGAAAUUAAAUUUAACUAGAACAAUCAAAUAUUAUAUUAGCUGAAAUUAAAUUUGAAUAGAACAAUCAAAUAUUAUAUUGAGAAAAUAGUCUAUUACCUCCAACCUUUAGUCGAAAUCCCAAUUACAUACUCAACCUUUUAAAGAUACCUAUUAUCCCCUUAAUCUAUUUUUUUUUCUAUAUUUAUUACUCCCUGACCUGUCAACAUAAACCAAGUAAUAAGACAUUCAUGCAUUUCAUGCGCCUGGCCCACACCUAAACAUAACAAAAUAUCUUUUUUCACAAUUUCAUUUUCAAUUUCCUCUCUCCUCUCUCUUCUCUCUAAACCUUUCAUCUUCCUCUCUCCUCUAUCUUCUCUCUAAACUGCGAUUUCAUCUAUUUUUUUGGGGGAAUUUUUGUUAUAAUUGAGAUAUUUUGGGUGUGAAUUUUCAAAGAAUCAUCUUGUUGCUGUUACAAGGUGUUUUUUUUUUCCGUAAACUGAAAAAAAUUGAAUUAGAAUUUUUAGCUAAUCUCCAAAUUUACAAAUUAAUUGAGUGAAAUUAACUGAUUCUUACUGUUAUGGCGUUGUCUCAGUGUUCGAUUAACAACAUAAUUCGUUCGUAAGUACAUGUUUUGUUGAUUGUUUAAGUGAGUUUAUUAGAAAUUAGCGCUUUUCUUCGAUUUGUUGUUAAUGUGAAAACUUAAAAAUUCAAUUGUGUUUAAUAGGAAGUGCGUGUUAAUAUGUUGUUAAUUUGAGUGAUUUUUUCCAAAAUUGAGUUAAAAUUAAAUAGAGUUUUAUGCUAAUUCCCAAAAUUUAAAAUUAAUUGAGUGACAUUAAGCUGUGGUUUUUGCUAUUAUAUUGUCUACGUGUUUGAUUAACAACAUAUUACGUUUCUAAUUACAUCAAAUUAGAAUUUUUGUUGAUUGUUUAAGUUGGUUUAUUAGAAAUUAGAGCUUUUGUCCGAUUUGUUGUUAAAAUGAUAAAAUUUCUCAAAAUCAAUUGCGUUUAAUAGCAUGUGUAUGUUAAUGUCCGAAACUAUGACUCAGAUAACUCAGCAGUGUGUAGAGCUAUGUCGAUCUGAAGAUAAUAAAAUUUCAGAGCUAAAAAAAGACGUUGGUAAACUCCAUAAAACCCAUAACGUUUAUUAUUAUUUUGGUUUUUAAUUUUGUAGCAUGUUCAUGAUUUUUUUUUCUUUUUCCAUAAUGUUUCUACUAUGCUACUAUGUCUUGUUUGAUUCUUUAUUGUGAUCAGGUAAGACAUGAAUGAUUUUACGUUGAUAACUCUAAGAUAGUACCAUGGUGAGGUCUUACAUUUUAGUAGGGGAAAACCAGUUUAUAAGGGGGGGUUAGUAACAGAAUUUUUGAAUGUUGACGUAGAUAAGAUGUCAUAUUUUGAGUUGAAAGACUAUAUUAAAAAUUGGGACAUAGCAUAACUUGCACUUUUAGUAUUAAAGCAUUUAACUAUGGCAUUUUGGUAGAUGUUGAUAAUGAUAUGGAUAUUUUUGAGAUGAUGUGUUCCUUGCAAGAUGGGGAUGAAGUAGAGGUAUUUGUCAACCAUUUGUUGAUGAGCCAGAUGUAGUGGCCCCCCCUCCCCCAAACCUUUAUUUUUAGAAAAUGUCUGUCCUAGAAAUUUAGAGGAAUCUGGUGCAUCUUUUAAUACUAAGCCUAACUUUAGGGUAAGUGGGGACCAUUUAAAUGUGGAGGACCCUACUUCUUUUUUUCCAACCACACCUCCUUUCAAUACCACACCUCUUUUCACUACUGCAUUAAGUGUUGCUGUAACAACUAAUGCUGCAGUAGAUGAUAUAGAUGUUGGUCUUGCUGGAUUUGAUUUUUUAGAAGAAGAAGUAGAGGCUUCUGAUUAUUCUACUGAGAAUAAUGUUGAGUCAGAAGGAGAAUUAGUUGGAGAUGAUGAUGAAGAGGAGUAUGGUAAUGAUGUACCUGAGGAGGUUAGGGAGUUGAGAGUUGAAAAGAGAAAGUUUCAAAGGAGAAAAAGAAAUGAGAGAGUACCAACUGACAAUGCAGAGGUACCAGUAGGUGAAGUAGUACCAGAUCUAGGUUUUGAUGAAACUGAAACCGGUAGAGUAAGUUAUGAAGGAAGGCUUGGAGGUGAUGAGCCUUACUUUGCAAGUUCUGAUGAGGAUAGUUUUGUAUUAGAUGAAGAUGAUUGUUGUGAUGAUGAUGAACAUGAAAUGGUUCAUUCUGGUAGAGCAAGAACUAUGAAGUUGUCAAAAAAGAGGACAACAAAUCAAAAAAUCAUUCAUGACCCAACUGCAAAGGAAGUUGUUUGCCAGUUACGUAUGGUGUUUAAAGAUAUGAGUGAAUUUAGAAAAGCAGUGACUAAAUAUGUAAUAAGAAAAAGGGUUCUUGUAGAGAAGUGGGUUAAUGAGCCAAAAAAGGUUAGAGUUAGGUGCAAUGAUGGCUGUCCAUGGCUUUUAUUUGCAGGUCUUGACAAGACAACAAAUGAUUUCAUGAUAAAAAACUUAUAUUCCAAAGCAUACUUGCAAUAAGACAACCAGAAAUUACUUGUGCAAUGCAAAGUUCUUAGCUGAAAUCUUUAGAGAAAGAAUAGUUGAGCAACCCAACAUAAGAGUAUUCAAGUUGCAAAAGUUGAUUAGAAAAAAGUUCAAACUUUAUGUUGGUAAGAUCACUGUGAGAAAAGCAAGGUCUAAAGUCUUAAAGGAGAUAAUGGGUGAUCAUGUUGUAGAAUUUGGAAGAAUCCUUGACUACAAAGAUGAACUGUUGAGGAUAAAUCCGGGGACCAGUUGCGUUGUCAAACUUGGUGAGGCUGAUGAAGCAGGUAAACCAAAAUUUCAGACUUUUUACAUAUGCUUUGAUGUUUUGAAGAAGGCAUGGGUACAUUGUAGGAAGUGCAUAGAUUUAUAUGGUUGUUUUCGUAAGGGUAUUUGUAAAAGCCAAUUGUUAGUUGUUGUUGCCAAGGAUGGAAAUAACUAGAUGCUGCCACUUGCUUGGGCAAUAGUUGAAAAACAGAAUACAAACACCUGGACAUGGUUUAUUAGGUGCAUUAGGGAUGACCUAAGACUUGAAGAAGGUGAAAGUCUCACCCUGAUUACAGAUAUGCAGAAGGUAUGUACAGUAUUUUAUGUUUAACCUCAUUUCUUUUUAAUUUAACUUAGUACAUGUAAUUAUGCCCUAACUUCACCCUUUUUUUGUUAUGUAUGUUUACUGAAAGGACUGUUUGUAGCAAUUGAGGAGGUGUUACCUCAAUCUGAACAUAAAAGAUGUGCAAGACACAUCUUAGCUAAUUGGGCUAAGGAUUGGAGAGGUCUUCAAAGAAGACAACAAUUUUGAAAGAUAGCAAAAAGUACAUUUGAGUCUCAAAUGAGGAAGAACAUACAGAAGAUGAAGUUGCUUGGUCCUGGAAAAAUGAUGUAAGACUUAAUGUACUGCAAUAUUAAUUACUGGUGCAAGCUUUACUUCAACACAGAAGUAAAGUUUGAUUCAGUGGAUAACAACAUGAGUAAGUGUUUUAAUGCAUCGAUCUUGGCAGUUAGCAGAAGACCAUCAUUUUCCUGCUUGAAGAAAUAAGAGUGAAGAUGAUGACAAGAAUAGGCACUCUAAGGGAGUUUCCAAAUACCUGGUGUAGUAGUUACUCACCAAGGUGUUUGAAGAUUUUAGAGGAGAACAUCAACAGGGCUCUGGAUUGUACCAUUAAGUUUAAUGGAGUGACUGGUUUUGAAGUGAAAGAAGGGCUUUGUCAACACACAGUGGAUAUUAUCAAGAGGACAUAUAGGUAUAGGUUGUGGCAGUUAAAGGGCAUACCAUGUGCACAUGGUGUGGCUGCACUAUUGUUCAAGAAACAUCCCUUGUAUGACUAUAUUGACAGCUGCUACAGUAAGGAAACAUACUUGAGGACUUAUGCAAAUGUUCUUAAACUAUUAACAAACAUGAAAAUGUGGCCUGUUUCAUCAAACAUUACUGUUGCACCACCUGAAAUUAGUACCUUGCCUAGCAGGCCAUCUAAGUCUAGGAAGAAGGAAGCUGGAGAAACAAAAAAAUCUGCAAAAUUGCCUAGAACUGGACUUGCAAUGACAUGUAGGUUGUGUCAUGUAGGUUGUGUCAUGUUAGAGGCCACAACAAAAGAAGGUUCCCUCUAAGAGGACAAUCAGCAGAACCAAGUGUUGCACUAUCAGUAACACCUACUGGUUCAGGCAUUGGAAGAGGCAGACCAAAGGUAAGUUUAACACUUAAUUUAGUAUAUUACUUAUCUUACUUCUAAAAUUUCUUAACAUUAUUUUAAUAUGUAGAAAACUACACCAAAAACACCAAAUGCACCUCCUCAAGUCAGUGUUGGUUCAGGCAGGGGAAGAGGCAGACCAAAGGUAAUUUUACACUUGUACUAAUUAGCUCAAUAACUUUUAUAUAACUCUCUUCUUUUUAUAUGUAUAGAAAACUCCAUCAGAAAUCAUUAAUGCAUGUCAACAACAAAAAAAAGAAGAAGAAGGAGACCAAAAAAGGCAACACUAGCAGCACCUAGUGCAUCUCCUCUACCUAAAACACCUUCUGCGCCUACUAUUUUUCCAGCAUCCUGUUCUGCACCUUCUGAUUAUUGUGCAUCAUCUUUAAUGGCUGGUAUUACUAAAAGGGGAAGGGGUAAUGAUAAGGAAAAAACACCUCCAUUGAAAAGGUCAAAAGUAAUGGGAAUGGGUGUGUUCCAAGAUGAAAAUGGAUUCAAAGUCCUAAAUGUAAGUAUCUAGCUUUGUUGUAUCUUGUGUACAUAUGAGUCUUUAAUGUAUAAGUUUUUGAAUAAUUUUUAUCCUUCACUGUAGCCUGGCAUGCCUAGCAGUAAGAUCUGCUCUAUUGGUCAUGCAAGGGUAACAAGAUCAGCUGAUAUAACUGGUAACAUUGGUUAUACACCAAGUACUACUAAUAAGCUGAAAUUGAAUGGCAAAGUAGCAAUAUGAACGAAAAAACUACAAGAUAUUAAAGAGAAGAAAAGAAAGAAGAAUGUGCGAAGCAGUUCAAAUAAUUCAAGUCAAGAAAAUACUUCUUCAAAGUCCAAGAUGCCCUGAAAAUUGUAGUAAUGUUGAUUAUUUUAAGCACUGUUUUAAGUUAGACCAAUUGAAAUGAAAAUAAUUUUAUUUUGGUGCUGAAAAAUAAUUUAAGCACUGUAUAUAUAUUUUGUUGAUGAAUGUUGCCUAAUGGUUGGUAUGAAUGAUGAUGUUGUGCCUAAUGGUUGGUAUGAAUGAUGAUGUUGUGUGAAGUCGAAUAUUUUGUUGAUGAAUGUUGUCAUUAGGUAUUAUUGUUGUGUUAAAUGAUGGUAAAGUUGAUAUAAUGUCAACACAACAUUGUCAUUACACGAUUUAAGUGUAAAAACAUAGCAGCAGCACGGUGCUUUGUCUAACAAGACACAACUUUGAAAGUGUAAACAAUAACAUAGCAACAACAAAAGACACAAUAAGUGUAAACAAUAACAUAACAGUAAUACACAACACAAUUUUGUAAAUGUAAACAACAACGUAGCAGGAGCACAACACAAUUUUAAAAGUGAAAACAAUAACAUAGCAGCAACACAAAUGCAAACAAUAACAUAGCAGCAGCAACACAAGUGCAAACAAUAAUAUAGCAGCAACACAACAAACAUCUGAAGUACGACUAAGCAAAAGACACCAUAACAGAACAUAAUCUGAUAUAUUUAGAGAGAGAUAUACAAAAUUUACACCAUAGUAGACAAGAUCUAGCAACUAGUUUUAGUUCAUUUGUUGCUGAUGAACAUAGCAACAACACAAAUCAAAAUAAAUUAAAAUAUCUUCCUAUUGAACCUACACCAUCUCCAUUUUCUAUUAAGCUUUUUCUCCCGCGUCAAGUUAUCAAUUUGGACUUGUUUAAGCCAUACGUCUUCUUCCAACUCAUUGAUUUUUUUCACCAAUCUUGGAAAUAUAAAAUUUGAUCUUGAAUCCACUUUUUCUUUGUCCCUUUGUAGGAAAAAAUUAUAUUUUUGAGACUAAAAUUUUUUUUAGAAAUCAGUACAUUAUCAUAAUUUGAAUAUAAAUUGACGGCAAAAUACAAUGCAAAAUACAUAUACCAUAGUAGAGGCAAGACCAAAAUCUUCUUCCCGGAUUUAACUUCGACCAUGAAGUUUGCAAGUUAAGAAAAAUACCAUGUUUGCAUCUCACAACAACAUUGACCAUUGGAUCUGAUUCAUCUACACAAAGUUUAUUCAAUUUCGAAUUUGUCAUUUCAUGAAUUUCGACAAAAUUAAUGAUAAAAUUACAAACCCUAAAUUAAUAGUUGAACCAAACUACAAAACAAAACUUCACGAAUUGAAGUACAAAUUGGGAUUAAAAAUUAAAACGUACGUUAAAGAAAUAGAAAAAAAAUGGAGAAACAUGAAGGAAAAUGAUGGACAAGAACAAGGGUCUUAUAAAGAAGAAGAUGACCGUUGGAAGAGAGAGUAUUUUUUCAUCUUUAUUUCAUCAAAUAAUCAAUUAAUGAUGUGUAUAUUAUGUGGAAGGUUAAAAUUUUAAUUUUAGAUGUGCUGGGGCUAAACCAACGCGUCUAGAGGGAGUGUUCUCACCUUCCUUGUCAGGUCAACAUUUGGGGUAAUAAAUAUAGAAAACAGGUCAGCAUUUGAGGUAAUAAAUAUAGGAAAAAAUAAAUUAGAGGGUAAUAGGUCAUCUUUUGAAAAUUAAGUGUGUAGUUAAAUUUUGACUAAAGGUUGAUAUUAGCUGAACAAAAUUUUAACCAUAAACAAUAGUCCUAAAUAGAACAGGAUUCAUUCACACGACAACUUGCUUCUUGUAUUGAAGAAUUAGAAGAGGGGUUCUUAAGGAUCAUUCCUUACAAAUAAUUCUAAGAGAAAGAAAAGAGACGCAACUACUUUAAAUAAAUGAUAAAAGGAAAUUAUUUAUUAAUCAAACUCAUAACAUUUUCUUGAUUACAAUUGUAAGACGAAGACCCACAACCUUAGACAAAUUACAGACACACAUCAUUCAGAUUGAAACAAACAUUAUUGACUGACAAAGGGAGUUCGACAAACAACAGUUGAUUUGCAAUUCUUCUUCAACCAAAGAUGUCAAUCGCCUUCACCUCAUGUUUCUUCUCCUCUUCCUUCGGAACAGUCACAGUGAGCACUCUGUUCUCCAUAGCUGCCUUAAUUUCCCCUAUUUUCGUAUUCUCCGGCAGCCUAAAUCUCCUCAAAAACUUGCCGUUGCUCCUCUCCAUACCGUGCCACUGAUCAUUCUUCUCCUCUUGCUCUCUGCUUCUCUCACCACUUAUCUGUAAUAUCCUUCCUUCUGCAACUUCGACUUUCACUUUUUCUUUCUUGAUCCCCGGAACAUCUGCUUUGAAGAUAUAAGCUUCUGGAGUUUUCUUCGAAUCAAUUCUUGCAUUUACGAAAGUAGAAGUUUCACGAGAAGAGGAGGGGGUGUUGGUGAUUGUGCUUGAAAUUGGGAAGCCUUCGAACGGAUCCCAUAGGUCGAGGGAGAAUGGGUCAAAGAUGUUGCUCCUGCGACCACCGAAGAAGCUUGGAAUCAGAGACAUUUUCUGGGGACUUUGUUGUUUGAAGAAGACAAAAGAUGUACUGUUACAGAGCUUGAAUUUUUCUUUGAUUGUAGCGUUUGAUAAUUUGUUGUUGAUGAAUGAGAGGAGAUGCCGUGAUAUUUAUAGGCGAUGAACCAUGAAACUUAAGUAAUUGGAGUGUAAUCUAGGAUGUUCUCAGAGUAUUCGACGAUAUUCUUCAAUAAGCUAUCCAAUUCGAGGCUAAUCUUCGAUGUUCUUCGGUUUAACUUUCAUUAAUAGAAGAAAUAAGAAGCUUCUACAGUAUUCGAGGGAAUUUUUCUAAAAGGGUCAUGCACAUUAUUGUUCGUCAAGUCAUAAUUUCAAGGGUAAGGUAUAAUGGGUAAAUAAUUUUGAAAUAAAAUGAAGAGUAAAUACAUAAUAAUUACCCACUGAUGUUGGUCGAGAUUUUUAAAAAGACACUUAAACUUUGAAUUCGACCCAUUAUCCUAUGAUUCUUACUUAAUUUAUUGCAAACACACUAUUUUUCGCUGAAUUUUAGUCACAACAAGGAGAGUGAAAUACAUGCGUCAAUCAGAUGCCACCACAUGUCAAAUAUGUUUAAUUUAUAUUUUUAUUAUUAUUUUAAUAAAAUUUUAUUUUUUAUUUAAUUUAAUACCCCACCCCAAAAUCAAUUCAAAAAAUAAUUUUAUAAUUAAAUUGAGAGUUUUAUGAUUGAAUUUAGUUUUAAAGAUAGUUAAAUGAUAUGAUUUAACUGAAAAAUUGAGCUUUAAUGAUAUGAUUUUAAUAAAAAAAAAGCUUCAAUGGAGGAACUUUAAUGAUGAUAUUGUGUUGAAGAGCUUUAAUGGUGUUGAAGAAGAUAUUAUGUUGAAGAAGAAAUGGUGGAUAGUUAAAUGAUAUGAUUUAAUUGUAAAAUGGAGCUUUAAUGAAUGAUUUAAAAAAAUUAUGAAAAGUUUCAAUGGAAGCUUUAAUGGUGAGUUGAGUUAAAGAAGAAAGAGUGGGUGGUUGGAGGGCGGAGAGGGGGUAGGGAUAAUUUUUAAAAAUAAAUAAAUAUUAUUUUUUUUUAAAAAAUAUAAAUUAUAUAUUAAAUUAUUUUACACAUGACAGCUUUUAAUUGGUCAAAAAUGUCAAAUUCAAGCCAUUUCACGCGCCUGUGGUGCAUGUAUACACGUAGAGGGUCAAAAUGGUGUGUUUGCAACGAAAUAAAGAAGAAUCAUGGGGUAAUUAAUCGAAGUUAAAGUUUAGGUAUCUUUUUGUAAAUCUCGGACAAGAGAAGGAGGUAAUUAUGUAUUUACUCUAAAAUGAAAGAUUAAUACAUCCUUGACUACAUAUCUACAUGUUUCAUUAUUUACAUAUUGAAAAUGAUGGUGUUUGUAACUUUUCACAACAUCAUUUAGCAAAAAGUACCUGCACAGUACCAAAUGAUUAAUAUUUGUCUCAUAAAGAGGAAAGAAAAAGCAAGGGCAUAUUGAUAGAUGAGAUUUCCGACAAAUAAGAAACCAAAUCAUUACUAUCACAUGAACCUUAAGUUGUUGCAAUUAAGAGUUCGGAACUAAAGUAUGCCAUGCAACUAAAAAAAGAAUCAUUCUAUGUCAUAUAAAAAAAGUAUUAAAAUAGGUUUUGUGCACUUAUUAAGUGCACAAUGCCUUUCUAUUUUAACGGUAAAUCCAUUCACAGUAUCAGAGAAAGUCAAACUUAGUCAUUUUUUAUGAAUUGUGCACUUAUUAAGUGCACAAUUCAUUUUUUUAUGAAUUAUGCACUAAAUAAGUGCACAAUUCUUAUUAAAAUAGAUUGUGCACUUAUUAAGUGCACAAUGUUUUUUAAAUAAACUGUACACUUAUUAAGUGCACAAUGUUUAUUCACUUUUUACGCAUGACAUUUUCAUUUAAUUUGUUUAUUUAUUUAUUUAUUUAUUUAUUUUUUGAUUGUGCACUUUUUUAGUGCACAAUUCAUUUAUUUAUAUUGUUCACUUUUUUGUACAAUCAAUGGAUUGUUGUGAUUUUGGACUUGUUGAAGAAGAUUAACAAACAACAAAAGGAGCUGAAGGCCAAAAGGAUCUUAAAGCUAAUUUUAAGCAUUAGUGUGAUAUGUAAUCUGAUGAUGUUCAUUUACCUUUUGUGCCAUUGAAAGAGAAUUGUCUAUGUAUGAUGUUUUAUUUUGACGAAUAUAAUAGUAUUUCUCUGUUAAAGUACAAAUACUCUUAACACGAAAAUUUUUAUGGUAGAUGAGGUGCGCCAUGUCAUAUUUAUGUGAGGCUUUUCAUUAUUUGACAAGUGCACAUUGUGGGUCCCGUGUAAUUAUUAUCCUUUUCACUUUUUAUUGAAAUGUCAUGCUUUUUUAUUUUUUAAUUUAUUUACACAAAAUCAAAUAACAUGAAUAAAAUAGGGUGAAAAAAUUAUCAUACAAUUUUUUCUUUUUUAUUAAUAUAAAUUAUCUAACUUUAAAGUUUAUCACACAUAAAUUAUUAUUUUUUUUAUUUUUCAUAUAAAAAAUCAUCCAUUUUAAAAUUAUCACAGUAAUCUUUUUUUCUAAUUUUUAAAUGGCAAUGAAAUGAUAUAAUAAAAUUAUUUAUCAUUAUUUUAUUCAAUAAAAUUAUUUAGAUUAAUAGAUUUAUCUCACGAAGUAACAAUAGAAUUAAAACCCACACUUAGAAAAUAGGAUAGUUUGUAAUUAGCAUCCUUAAUAUAUGUGCAUUUUUUUUAAUUACACUUUAUUUUAUUUUUAAUGUCUUGGCCCUUAAAAUCUCAUUAAAUUCCUACAAAAUUAUAAUUAAUCUCAUUUUAAUUGUUACAAAGACAAAAAAAAAAGGAAAAAAUAGAAUUAAGAAGAAAAAAUAAUAAUAGCCUUUCAAUAUUGAUUCAUACCUCCAGUGAAUUUAUCUUGAAUGACUUUCAAGCCGUCUUUGCUUCUUUAAAUAAUCAAAUUUAAUAUUUCAAAAGUAUAUUUAUUGAAAUUAUUUAUUAGUUUAGUUUGGUUUAUAUUAAAAUCAUGUGUUUUAUUUUUGUUUUUUCAUCCGGUGUCCGAUACCCGCAUUGGAGUACGACUAAUGCUGAUUCGCGCCGCGUAGUGUCCCAUUCGGGGGGAAGCGCACCUUACCAAGAAUUUUUUCAUACCUAGGGCUCAAACCCGAGACCUCUGGUUAAAGGAGGAGCAGCCCCAUCCGCUGUAUCACAUCAUUUGGUGGUAUUAAAAUAUGUGGUUGUAUUAUGGUGAAACUGUUUAGUUUGAAAGCUUAUAACAAUUAUUAUUAUUAUUAUUAUUAUUAUUUAUGCUUUUUAUUUUAUUUUAUGUUUUUAAAGGGUAAUUUAUUUUAUUAUUAUUAUUAUUAUUGUAUUUUAAAUAAAUUGCCCUUUUAAAAUAUAAAAUAAAAUAAAAACUAUAUAUGCUUAUAACAAAUUAUCGUAUUCAUACUAUAAUUUUUUUACAUACAAAUACAUAUUUAUAAUAAUAAACAUUUUAAAUGUCAGCCGUAAAAAGUGAAUAGAGAUUGUGCACUUAAUAAGUGCACAAUCUAUUUAAAAAAUGUUGUGCACAAUCUAUUUUAAAAAAAAUUGUGCACUUUAGUGCACAAUUCAUAAAAAAAAAUGAAUUAUGCACUUAAUAAGUGCACAAUCCAUUAAAAAAUGGAUUGUGCACUUAAAAAUUGCACAAUCUAAGCGUGACCUUCUCUGACGCCGCGAAUGGAUUUGCUGUUAAAAUAAAAAGGCAUUGUGCACUUAAUAAGUGCACAAAGCCUAUUUUAGUAUUUUUUUUUAUAUGACAUAAAAUAAUACUUUUUUUAGUUGUAGGACAUAUUUGGUUUCGGACUCUGCACUUAACUAUAUUUCAUUCUUUUAUAUCAAAUACCUUCGUAGUAUUUAUUGGAAGAGUUCGUUGUGAUGGGAAAAAUACUUUCAUAGUAAGAAAAUCUAGAAAGUACAAACAUGUACUCAAACUAACUUAAAUAAAGUAGAAACAAUUAGAUUAGCUAAAUUAGAAUAUCAUGUAAUGUUGAAAACAUACUGAAAGACAUUCGAGAAGCUAACAUCGACAAGGAAUUAAGCCACUUUUACGUCCAAAACUCUCAUGUUCUCGAUCUUUCUAUUGCAGAAAAUCAACCUGAAAAAUUUAAAAGUAAAUUAUUAUUAUUAUUAUUAUUAUUAUUUAUUAUUAUUAUUAUUAUUAUUAUUAUUAUUAUUAUUAUUAUUUCAUUUCUAAUUCUUUAUUCCAUUUUUGAGAAGAGAAAAACUAAAUUAUAAAGUUGAAGGUUGUUGCCCUUCAAAUUAAAUAAUCUAUAGCCAAUAUAAUCUGGAAAACCUCUAUUUAGAAAGGGAAAAAAAUGAACAUUGAUAUACAUUUAAUAAAGCAAUGGAAAGUUGGACAUUAACCUCCUAGAAAUACUCACUGCAUCUUUUAAAAACCUUAAAUCAGAAACUAUCAAAUCUUUGUUUUUAUUAACAACAGGGACUUCCCCCAAUUCUUGUAGAAAACUUGAGACACAUAAAAUGUGAUUCUAAUGCUUAUUCAUCUCUUGAUUUUUCCAUCAUUAUUUAAAUAUCUACAACAAUAAUAUACUGGUAUAAUUUUAUUGGUGGGGUUUAGGGAGAGUAAAGUGUACACAGAUCUUACCCCUAUAAUUCGUAAAGAUAAGAGAAGUUGUUUCUGAUAGACCCUCAGCUGAAGUGAAGUAUCUCAAAGCAAUUUGAAAAGGGAAAUAUGGAAAUAGAAAUAGUAACAUCAACACUAUAUAUGAAUGCAUGGAGCGGAAUUUACCUUACUGUUUGCCUUUGCAUACGCAAUCAGCUGCUAAGUGUCUGACUCAAGAAUGCCAUCAACUAUAGUAGCCACGCCUCUAAUGAUUGCUUGUUUAAGAGCAGAUAUGGAGGAUGCAACAACAUUGCAUUGAGUUAAGAAAUUAACGAUCAGACAGAUUGUCUUUCAAGAGAUGACGGAGGGCUUGUCACACUACCAACCUUCUGAAAGAUACAAAGCUUAUAAAUACAUCAGUAGUGGGAUGUGCAACACAGCCAGCUUCAACUCUGUAUAACAGGACGGACAACAUUAGUUCAUAUAUCGUUUUGGACACACAACCAAUUGACAUACAUGGACAAAUUGAUUUAUAAUUAAGCCCUAUGUGCUAUAAUGUUGAGUCAAGAUGCUCCGCCUUUUCUAUAGAAGCAGUCAACUGAGUUCUAAACGAAUUAGCUUCUGGCCAUAUUACGCCUGUUGGGUUCAAUAUGUAUGGAAGAAGUGUGAAUAGAAAAUGGAGAGAAAAAGGAUGGAGGGAAGGAAACACUAAUUUAGAAAGUGUACUCUCAAAUUGAAAAGUUCACUAAAUCUCCCACAUUGGUGGGAGAAGAGAACUUUGGAGUAUUUUUAAUAAAGAAUACUUACUCUACAUAGAUAGUGAGGCAAGAACAAGGUGGUGCUUCGUGUUGUUGUCGUCGCUCGGCUCGACUUUGAAUUUGGAUUGAUGGAAUCUAUUAUUUUGGACAAAAUUUAUUUGAUCAAAAUCUGAUCCGAAUAUUCUAAAGGAAAAAUGACAGAAAUGCAGAAAAUUUUUUUGUGUUUUAUCCUCCAUUUAUAUGCAUGUAUACAGUGAACUGAUGCAUUAUUUCGAACUGAACUGAUGCAAUGUUAUGAACUGAUGCUUCAAAAAGAUGCAACCAUUCAGUAAAAAUGAUACACUGAUUCAUGGAAAGGUAUGCUUGUUCGGAAAAGAUACACUGUUUGGACGAAUAGACAUGAUUUUUCAGGAAAGGUUACACCUUUUUAAAUAAACCAUUGCCACUUUUCAGAAGAGGCCAGUUAUGACUAUAUAAACCUGCUUUCAUCCAUAGGUUUAGACAUGAAAAUUUUUUUGAAACAAAAACUCUUCUUGUUUUCAAAUAUUUUGUGUGAUCAAUCAAACUGUUGAGUGAGUUCGUAGAAUCCGUCAAUUUGAGGUACCGUUAUUGUUCGGAUUGAAGUCCAUUUUAUCCUGGGAGGAAGAUUCCAUAACCUCGGGUACAGUGAGGAGAAUUAUUCCAUAAGGACAUUCCAUGAAGUCGGGGGACUUGAUCUAAAUUUCUGUUUCAUCUUUUUCUGAAUAUUAACACACUUCUAAGAUAGAUUAUUCAUAAUCUAGUGUUGAAGGUGUGAAGAAACUUCAUAAGUUCUUGUCUUGAACUUGAACUUUCUUUGAAGUUUCUGUUGCUUAUAUAUAGAUUCUUGUACCCGAAUACAUACAAAAUAACAAUCUUAAGGAAUAAUUCAGAAUCUGUAUUACUUGUUUUUGAAGAUUAAAUCUUUAAACUUUCUACUCCGUUUGAAUUUAACUAGUGAUUAGAAGACAUAAAAUCUUUAUCACAAGUUUAAAAUUCACUCGGUUGACAAUUGGAAGUCAUUAAAACUUCAUUGUUAACUAGAAACAAGAAGAAGAGUUUAAGUUUCUUAACUUUAUAAGUAGUAUUCUGAAAAUACUAAAUAUUAUUGUCUUGUGGUGACAGGAAAAAUAACUAAUGAAAGCCAAAUGCAAGAUGCGGCUACGACUGUGGGGGCAACUAGCAUUGCUUCAACAAGUCGAGCAAAUGCUCCGCAACCAAUGGCACCUGCGGAGAAGCCUGGAAAAUUUACGGGCGUUGACUUUAAGCGAUGGCAGCAAAAAAUGUUCUUUUACCUCACCACUCUAUGCCUUUAAAGGUUCACUAGUGAAGAUGCUCCUGAGGUGCUCGAGGGAACCUCGGACAAAGAGCAUUUCAUGAUUGUAGAAGCUUGAAAAUACUCAGACUUUCUUUGUAGGAAUUAUAUAUUAAGUGGUCUCCAAGACGACCUCUACAAUGUUUACAGUGGAACUAAGACACCGAAGAAAUUGUGGGGGGCACUAGAUCGAAAAUACAAGACAUAGGAUGCGGAAAUUAAGAAAUUCUUUGUUGCAAGGUUCUUGGACUUUAAAAUGAUAUAGAGCAAAUCGGUUGUCUCUCAAGUGCAGGAAUUGCAAGUAAUCAUCCAUGAUCUUCUAGCGGAAGGUUUGAUUGUGAAUGAUGCUUUCCAAGUAGGAUCGAUAAUUGAGAAGCUACCACCAAUGUGGAAGACUUCAAAAACUGCUUGAAGCAUAAAAGCAAGGAGAUGACUGUUGAAGAUCUUAUUAACCGACUGCGUAUUGAAGAGGAUAAUAAAGCUACCGAGAGAAGGUCAAAAGGGAAUUCUGCAAUUAAUGGAGCACAUAUUAUGGAAGAUGACCAAAAUAAUUCUGAGAAAAGGAAGAAAGUUGAACAAGGAAGCAAUCAACCGAAGAAGAAAUUCAAGGAAAAAUGCUUCAAUUGUGGCAAGAUUGGCCAUAAGUCCACGGAUUGUCGAACCCCAAAGAAAGGCAAGAAAAAGGAUCAAGCAAAUAUGAUUGAAUCCAACAAAGAAUGCGAUGAUCUGUGUGCUAUGUUUUCAGAAUACAACUUGGUGGGAAAUCCUCGCGAAUGAUGGAUGGAUUCUGGUGCCACCCGCCAUGUAUGUGCAACAAAGAGUUGUUUUCGUCAUUUGUUCUGGCUCAAGUAGAAGAAAUAAUCUACAUGGCUAACUUCGCUACUGCUAAGGUAGAAGGAACAGGAAAAAUGUGCUUGAAAAUGACUUCAGGAAAAGUUUUGACACUUAACAAUGUCUUGUAUGUUUCAGAGUUACGUAGAAAUUUAAUUUCUGUUUCACUUCUAGACAAGAACGGAUUCAAAUGUGUAACCGUUUCUAGUAAAAUUAUAAUUAGCAAAGGAGAAAUGUAUGUAGGAAAAUGCUAUCUCACCGAGGGCCUUUAUAAGAUGAAUGUAAUGAAUGUUGAAAUAAAUAAAAGUUCAAAUUCUUCUUAUUUUCUUGAGUCUUAUGAUUUAUGGCAUGAACAUUUAGGCAAUGUUAAUUAUAAAACGCUACAAAAACUGAUUAACUUAGAAGUUCUGCCGAACUUUGAGUGCAAUAAAUCAAAGUGUCAACAUGUGUGGAAUCAAAGUAUGCAAAACAUCCUUAUAAGUCUGUUGAAAGGAAUUUCAAUCCCUUAGACUUAGUACACACUGACAUUUGAGAUAUGAAGUCAACACCAUCACGUGGUGGAAAAAAGUAUUUCAUAACUUUUUUUGACAAUUGCACUAGAUAUUGUUAUGUCUAUUUGCUAAAUAGUAAGGAUGAAGAAAUGGGUACGUUUAGGAAAUACAAAAUUGAAGUUGAAAAUCAGUUAGAUAAAAAGAUAAAAAUAAUAAGAAGUGAUAGGGGCAGAGAAUAUAAAUCUCCUUUCGCCGAAAUAUGUGUAGAGAAUGGAAUUGUCUAUCAAACUACGGCCCCGUAUUCACCUCAAUCUAAUGGAAUUGCGGAAAGAAAGAAACAAAUUUUGAAGGAAAUGAUGAAUGCCUUGCUUAUAAGUUUUGGUUUACCGUAAAACUUGUGGGAGGAGACUAUCCUUACAGUCAAUCGUAUACUCAAUACAGUUCCCCAUAGUAAGACACAGUCAAUUUCUUAUGAAAAAUGGAAAGGAAGGAAACCCAACUUGAAAUAUUUCAAAGUGUGGGGUUGUCUAGCAAAGGUCCAAGUUUCUAUGCCUAAGAGGGUUAAGAUAGAACCUAAACUGUGGACUGUGUGCUCAUAGGAUAUGCUAAAAGCAGUAAAGCAUGUCGAUUUUUGGUUCAUAAAUCCAAACAUCCGGAUAUAAAUAAAAAUACGGUAAUUGAAUCAGAUAAUGUUGAAUUCUUUGAAAAUAUUUACCUGUAUAAAACUAGACAUGAACAUUCUAGUGGAGGGUCUAAAUAACCUCGAGAUGAACCAAGUGAGAAUAUGCAUAAUGAAGAGAAUCCAAGAUGUAGUACACGUCGAAGAACUUCUACUACGUUUGGAUCAGAUUUUGUAACUUUUCUCUUAGAAAAUGAGCCUCAAACAUUUAAAUAAGCGGUGUCGACAUCAGACUCAUCCUUUUGGAAAGAGGCAGUCAAUAGUAAGAUUAAUUCAAUCUUAAGCAAUCAUACUUGAAAAUUGGUUGAUUUUCCUCCCGAAAAUAAAUAUUUAGGUUCUAAAUAGAUCUUCAAAAGGAAGAUGAAAGCGGAUGGUACUAUUGACAAAUACAAGGCAAAACUUGUAGUAAAAGGCUUCAAACAAAAAGAAGGUCUUGAUUACUUUGAUAUAUACUUGCCAGUAACAAGGAUAAAAUCAAUUCGAAUGUUAAUUGCCUUAGCUGCGGUAUUUGAUCUUGAAAUUCAUCAAAUGGAUGUGAAAAUCGCUUGCCUAAAUGGAGAAUUGGAGGAAGAAAUUUACAUGGAACAACCUGAGGAUUUUAUGGUUCCAGGAAAGGAAAACAAGGUGUGUAAACUUAUUAAGUCAUUGUAUGGACUAAAGCAAGCACCAAAAUAAUGGCAUGCGAAGUUUGACCAAACCAUGUUGGCAAACAGAUUUAAAAUAAAUGAAUGUGAUAAAUGUGUUUAUAUUAAAGACACUCCAAAUCACCAAGUCAUUGUAUGUUUAUAUGUGGAUGAUAUGUUGAUCAUCAGCAGAGACAUUUCUGACAUAAAUGCAGUUAAAUGAAUGCUCGAGAGCAAGUUUGAUAUGAAAGAACUUGGAGUUGCAGAUGUGAUCUUAGGUAUAAGAAUCCAUCGAACUCCAUAAGGGUUGGCAUUGUCACAGUCUUAUUAUAUCAAAAAUAUACUUGACAAGUUCAAGUAUAUGGAAUUCGGUAUUGCCAAGACUCCAUUGGAUGUGAGCUUUGUACUUCGAAAGAAUGAAGGUGAAAGUGACUCACAAUUGGAGUACGCAAGAGUAUUGGGAUGUUUAUUGUAUACAAUGAAUUGUACACGAUCAAACAUAGCAUGCGCUAUUAGUAAAUUGAGUCGGUACACAAGUAAUCCCAACAAAACUCAUUGGAUGGAAAUGAAAAGAGUGUUGGGGUAUCUUAAAUACACUCAAGAUUAUGCCUUGCAUUAUAAUAAAUAUCCUGCGGUACUUGAAGAAUAUAGUGAUGGAAAUUGGAUCACUGGAUCGGAUGAAGUAAAAUCCAUAAGUGGAUAUUUAUUUACUAUCGGAGGAGGAGUAGUCUCUUGGAAAUCAUCCAAACAGACUUGUAUUGCUCGUUCUACAAUGGAAUCUGAAUUUAUCACAUUGGAUAAAGCCGGUGAAGAAGCAAAAUGGCUUCGAAAUUUCUUGGAAGACAUUCCGUAUUAGCCCAAAUCAGUGGCACCAGUAUGUAUACACUGUGAUAGCCAAGCGACAAUAGGUAGUGUAGGGAGUAUGAUGUAUAACGAUAAAUCUCGUCAAAUACGAGGGAGACAUAAUACCGUUAGAGAACUUCUCUCUAGUGGAAUUAUCAUUAUUGACUACGUAAAGUCAAAGGAUAAUGUUUUGGAUUGACUUACGAAAGGUCUAUCUAGAGAAGGAGUGGAAAGGACAUCCAAGGGAAUGGGUUUAAAGCCUAGGACAAGUCAGCAUGGCGGUAACUCUACCUAGCAGACUGGAGAUCCCAAGAGCUAGGUUAAAGGAGAUCAAACAAAGUUGUGUCUGACAGGUUCAACAUUGUCAAUUACCCAACCCAUUCUCAUGAUGUAGACAAUGUUUAGUAAACAAGGAUAAGACUUAAGGUUAAAAGUCUUUUAAUGAUUAUCUAAAUUUGGCAGAUUUGACCAAAUAGUUUAAUCUAUAGGAUUGAACAUUUAGAAAUCACCUAAGUAAGGACGAAGUGGAAGCUGCUUCAAAGAGAAUGUUAGUAAAGGCCCAUUCUCUAAGCUCUCAUGAAACUGGGACGUGUUCAUGGCUGAAAAAAAUAAAACUGUGAGAACCAUAAACGGUAAAAGGCUGGUUAUGUGACACGUGUUGUCUAGGUGUACAUUAAAGCUCGAUGGUUCAAAGAUAUCAAAUUUGCUAAUUGACCGAGUGCAUCCGAUGCAUGUUCACUACGGAAAGGUCAAAGAAAAACCAACUUAUGCAGAUGCAAUCAGUCUUUACUUGAUGAUCACAUACUUGUCCGUAAAAAUUUUAUGAAAAAUAGCCAUUCCUCAUUCAUGUGGGGAAUUGUUGGGUUCAAUAUGUAUGAAAGAAGUGUGAAUGGAAAAUGGAGAGAAAAAUGAUGGAGGGAAGGAGACACUAAUUUAGAAAGUGUACUCCCAAAUUGGAAAGUUCACUAAAUCUGCCAUAUUGGUGGGAGAAGAAAACUUUGGAGUGUUUUUAAUAAUGAAUACUUACUCCACAUGGAUAGUGAGGCAAGAAAAAGGUGGUGCCUCGCGCCGUCGUCGACGUCGCUCGCUCGGCUCGGCUUCAGCUUCGGCCUCAACUUUGGCGUCGGAUUUGGAUUUGGAUUUGGAUGAAAAUGGAGAGAAAAAUGGUGGAGGGAAGGAGACACUAAUUUACAAAGUGUACUCCCAAAUUGAAAAGUUCACUAAAUCUCUCACAUUGGUGGGAGAAGAGAACUUUGGAGUGUUUUUAAUAAUGAAUACUUACUCCACAUGGAUAGUGAGGCAAGAACAAGGUGGUGCCUCGAGCUGUCGUCGUCGCUCGCUCGACUCGACUUCGGCUUCGACUUUGGAUUUGUCAAAUGAUCGAUCAAUGAGAUCUAUCUAAUCUUUUUGGACAAAAUUUAUUUUAUCAAAAUCUGAUCCGAAUAUACCAAAGAAAAAAUGACAGAAACGCAGAAAAUUUUUCUGUGUGAUCAAUCAAACUGUUGAGUGAUUUCGUAGAGUCCAUCAAUUUGAGGUACCGCUAUUGUUCGGAUUGAAGGCCAUUUUAUCCUGGGAGAAAGAUUCCAUAACCUCGGGUACAGUGAGGGGAAUUAUUCCUUAAGAACACUUCGUGAAGUCGGAGGACUUGGUAUAAAUUUUUGUUUCAUCUUUUUCUGAAUAUUAAAACACUUCUAAGAUAGAUUGUUCAUAAUCUAGUGUUGAAGGUGUUAAGAAACUUCAUAAGUUCUUGUCUUGAACUUGAACUUUCUUUGAAGUUUCUGUUGCUUAUAUAUAGAUUCUUGUACCCAAAUACAUACAAAAUAACAAUGCCUACCACUCCCUUCUCUUUACCUGAUACAAGGCAGUCGAAGUACGCACCACCCUGUAGAUAUGAAUGGCGCGAAGGAAAGGUGCAAAUUAUCAUCUGAUGCAUUUGCUAGACAUCAAAAAAGGAAUUAACUUAUACUAUCGUGUAAAAGUUGUUUAUACUAUUAGACGUAAUUUAACCUGUUAUAACAAAUUACCUACUUUAUUUUACAGGUCACUACUUCCAUUUACUAUGUGAAGUUACAUAUUGCUAUCUUUUAGGUGUGUAAUACUAUUAAUGCAUAUGAGUUAAUUAAAGAAAAGGUCAUAUAAGCUAACGAAAUACUUUUUACACUGAUGCAAUUCAAUCGAUUGUAGUAGGUUUCAUCACCGUAAUAUUUAGGUUAUCAUAUUAGACUUGAUACGAAGAGUUACCAAUUAUUGCGAAUUAUGGUGUUCAGACACUUCAAAAAGGUAGUCACACCCGCGUCGGAUCCUCCAAAAUACAUUAUUUUUGGAGGAUUUAAAAAGCACAUUUUGAUGUUUUUAAAGAUUCCAAGCAACAUAAGUUGUAAUUCAAUAGUAUCUAAUGGUCUAAAAAAAGCAUACGUAGUCAGUGCACAAAACUUAAGCUCGGAGAAUAAAAUGACUUACUUCAUUUGCUUGGUUUGGACAAGCUUGCCAGCAGUAGAAAUAUCAGCAUCAAGUUCUUCAUUUUGGUAGAAAAGUUUAGGAUCAUUUACCAUAUCCAAUUUUCUCUUCUUGUAAGCAGCAACACAAACUUGCAAUAACCUAGUAAAAGGGCUACCAGCAGGAUCCAAAUUUCUAUACAAAGGGUAUCCAAAUAUGAACACAACAAUUGAAAUAAGCAUAGCAAUUAUUGGUACAACAAAUCCAAUGCUCCAUCCAAUAUUAUCUUGAAUGUAAACAAUUAUCGUGACAGCAACAAGCAUUGAAAAUCCCAUUGGCCUGAUUUUGCUUCUUUUUCAUUGAAAAUCCCAUUGGCUUGAUUUUGCUUCUUUUUUCAUGAGCUAUUUACUCAUUCUUCUUUUACUCUGAGUUUGAAAUUGUUAUUUUAUGGUGUUUUCGGGUACAAGAAUCUGUAUUUAGGCACAACUUCAACACUAGUUCAAAUUUAAAACAAGAACCCUAUAAAGUACAAAAACACCCUCAACACAAGAUCGAAGUGAUCUUUCUAAGAAGUGUGUUUUAGUUUUUCAGAAAUUAAGAUGAAAUAGAAAUAUAAAGCCAAGUCCCCCGACUUCAUGGAGUGUCCUUAAGAAAUAAUUUUCCUCACUGUAUCCGAGGUUUUGGAAUCUUCCUCCAAGGAUAAAAUGACUUUCAAUCCAACUAUAGUGGUACCUCAAAUAAUUGAAUUUGUCGAACUCACCCAACGAUUUGAUUGAUCACAAAGAAUGUUUUGAAUACAAGAAGAGUUUUUAUUCCAUAAAAUUUUUCAUUCAUUUCUAAACCUGUAGAUGAAAGCAGGUUUAUACAACCAACAAAUACCUUUUCUGAAAGAUAACAAUGGUUUACUUAAAAGGUGUAUCCUUUGGAAGAGUCAUGUUUGUUCAUUUGAAACAUUGUAUCUUUUUCUGAACAGACACAAUUAUCUGAACAGUCACACCUUUUUCAAAAUAAGAUAUCUUUUGCUCAAAGGUUGUGUCCCUCUAUUUUCCAUUCACACCAAUUAAACCAAACAAUCCCCCAUAUGAAUGGGGAAUGACUAUUCUUUGUAAAACUUUACAAAAAAGUAUGUGAUCAUCGAACAAAGAUUGAUUGCGUCUGGAUAAGUGGGUUUUCCUUUGAACUUUUCGUAGUGAACAUGCAUCGGAUGCACUCGGUCAAUAGGUAGAUUUGAUAUCUUUGAGCCGUCGAGCUUUAAUGUACACCUAGACAACACAUGUCACACAGCCUUUUACCAUUUAUGGUUCUCAUGGUUUUGUUUUUUUCAGCCAUGAACACGUCUUGCUUUCAUGAGAUCUUAGAGAAUAGACCUUUACUAACAUUCUCCUUGAAGCGGCUACCACUUUGCCCUCACAUAGGUGAUUUCUAAACGUUCAAUCCUAUAGAUUAAACUAUUUGAACAAAUAUUCCAAAUUUAGAUAAUCAUUAAAAGAAUUUUCACUUUAAGUCUUAUCCUUAUCUACUAAACAUUAUCUACAUCAUGAGAAUGGAUUGGAUAAUUGACAAUGUUGAACCUGUCUGACACAACUUUGUUUGAUCUCAUUGAACUUAGCUCUUGGAAUCUCCAGUUUACUAGGUAGAGUUACCGCCAUGCUGACUUGUCCUAGGACUUAAACCCAUUCCUUUGGAUGUGCUUUCCACUCCUUCUCUAGAUGGGUCUUUUGUAAGUGGAUCCGACACAUUAUCCUUUGACUUUACAUAGUCAACAGUGAUAAUUCCACUAGAGAGAAGUUCCCUAACGGUAUUAUGUCUCCGUCGUAUGUGACAAGAUUUACCGUUGUACAUUAUGAUUCCUGCCCUACCUAUUGCCGCUUGGCUAUCAUAGUGUAUACAUACUAGUGUCACUGGUUUGGGAAAAUAACAAAUAUCUUCCAAGAAAUUCUGGAGCCAUUCUGCUUCUUCAACGGUUUUAUCCAAUGCGAUAAAUUCAGAUUCUAUGUAGAGCGAGUAAUACAAGUCUGUUUGGAUGAGUUCCAAGAGACCGCUCCUCCACCGAUAGUAAAUACAUAUCCACUUGUGGAUUUUACUUCGUUCGAUCCGGUGAUUCAAUUUGCAUCACUAUAUCCUUUGAGUACCGCGGGAUAUUUAUUAUAAUGCAAGGCAUAGUCUUGAGUGUAUUUAAGAUACCCCAAAACUCUUUUCAUUGCCACCCAACGAGUUUUGUUGGGAUUACUCAUUUACCGACUCAAUUUACUAAUAACGCAUGCUAUAUCUGGUUAUGUACAGUUCAUAGUAUACAUUGAACAUCCCAAUAUUCUUGUAUACUCCAAUUGUGAGUCACUUUUACCUUUAUUCUUUCGAAGUGCAAAGCUCACAUCCAAUGGAGUCUUGGCAGUACCGAAUUCCAUAUACUUGAAUUUGUCAAGUACCUUUUAGAUAUAAUGAGACUGUGACAAUGCCAACCCUUGUGGAGUUCUAUGGAUUCUUAUACCUAAGAUCACAUCCGUAACUCCAAGGUCUUUCAUAUCGAACUUGCUCUAGAGCAUUCGUUUCGUUGCAUUUAUGUCAGAAAUGUCUCUACUGAUAAUCAACAUAUCAUCUACAUAUAAACACACAAUGACUUGAUGAUUUGGAGUUUCUUUAAUAUAAACACAUUUAUCACAUUCACUUAUUUUGAACCCGUUUGCCAACAUGGUUUAGUCAAACUUCGCAUGUCAUUGUUUAGGUGCUUGCUUUAGUCCAUACAAUGAAUUAAUAAGUUUACAAACCUUAUUCUCCUUUCCUGGAACCACAAAACCCUCAGGUUGUUUCAUGUAAAUUUGUUCCUCCAAUUCUCCAUUUAGAAAUACGUUUUCACAUCCAUUUGAUGGAUUUCAAGACCAUAUACUGUUGCCAAGGCAAUUAACAUUCGAAUCGAUGUUAUCCUUGUUACUGUCGAGUAUGUAUCAAAGUAAUCAAGACCUUCUUUUUUCUUGAAGCCUUUUACUACAAGUCUUGCCUUGAAUUUGUCAAUAGUACCAUCCGCUUUUAUUUUCCUUUUAAAGAUCCAUUAGAACCUAAAGGUUUAUUUUCUGGAGGAAGAUCAACCAAUUCCCACAUAUGUUUGCUUAAGAUUGAAUCAAUCUCACUAGUGACUAUCUUUUUCUAAAAGGAUGAGUUUGACGACGACAUCACUUCUUUAAAUGUUUGAGACUUAUUUUUUAAGAAAAAUAUUACAAAAUCUGAUCCAAAUGUAGUAGAAGUUCUUUGAUGUGUACUACGUCUUGGAUUCUCUUCAUUAUGUAUAUUCUCACUUGGUUCAUAUCGAGGUCGUUUAGACCCUCCACAAGACUGUUCAUGUCUAGUUUUAUACGGGUAAAUGUUUUCAAAGAAUUCAACAUUAUCUUAUUCAAUUACUGUAUUUUCAUUUAUAUCCUGAUGUUUGAAUUUAUGAACCAAAAACCGACAUGCUUUACUGCUUUUAGCAUAUCCUAUGAAUACGCAGUCCAUAGUCUUAGGUCCUAUCUUAACCCUCUUAGGCAUAGGAGCUUUAACCUUUUCUAGACACCUCUACACGUUGAAAUAUUUCAAGUUGAGUUUUCUUCCUUUCCAUUUUCAUAAGGAAUUGAUUGUGUCUUGCUAUGAAGAACUCUAUUGAGUAUAUGGCUGUAAGGAUAGCCUUCCCCCACAAGUUUUGUGGUAAACCAAAACAUAUAAGCAAGACAUUCAUCAUUUCUUUUAAAGUUUGAUUUUUUCCGCAAUUUUGUUAGAUUGAGGUGAAUACAGGGCCUUAGUUUGAUGGAAAAUUCCAUUCUCUACACAUAUUUUGGCGAAGGGAGAUACAUAUUCUCCGCCCCUAUCACUUCUUAUCAUUUUUAUCUUUUUCUCUAACUGAUUUUCUACUUCAGUUUUGUAUUGCCUAAAUGCAUAUAUUGCUUCAUACUUACUAUUUAGCAAAUAGACAUAACAAUAUCUAGUGCAAUUGUCAAUAAAAGUUAUGAAAUACUUUUUCUCACCACAUGAUGGUGUGACUUCAUAUCACAAAUGUCAGUGUGUACUAAGUCUAAAGGAUUGAAAUUCCUUUCAACGGACUUAUAAGGAUGCUUUGCAUACUUUGAUUCCACACACGUUUGACACUUUGAUUUAUUGCACUCAAAGUUUCGCAAAACUUCUGAGUUAAUCAACUUUUGUAACAUUUUUUAAUUAACAUGACCUAGACGUUCAUACCAUAAAUUAUAAGACUCAAGCAAGUAAGAAGAAUUUGAACUUUUAUUUAUUUCAACAUUCAUUACAUUCAUCUUAUAAAGGCCCUCGGUGAGAUAGUCUUUUCCUACAUACACUUCUCCUUUUCUAAUUACAGUUUUUUCUGAAACGAUUACACAUUUGAAUCCGUUCUUUUCUAGAAGUGAAACAAAAAUUAAGUUCCUAUGUAAUUUCAAAAUGUACAAAACAUUGUUAAUUGUCAACACCUUUUCUGAAGUCAUUUUCAAGCCCACUUUUCCUGUUCCUUCUACCUUAGCCGUAGUGGAGUUAGCCAGGUAGAUUAUUUCUUCCACUUGAGCCAGAGCAAAUGACGAAAAUAACUCUUUGUUGGCACAAACAUGGCGGGUGGUACCAAAAUCCAUCCACCACUUGGGAGGAUUCCCCACCAAGUUGCAUUCUGAAAGCAUAGCACACAGAUUAUCACAUUCUUUGUUGGACUCAAUCAUAUUUGCUUGGUCCUUUUUCUUGCCUUUCUUAGGGGCACGAUAAUUUGUGGACUUAUGGCCAAUCUUGCCACAGUUGAAACACUUUCUCUUGAAUUUCUUCUUGGGUUGAUGGCUUCCUUGUUCAACUUUCUUCCUUUUCUUAGAAUUGUUUUGGUCAUCUUCUACAAUAUGUGCCCCAUUAAUUGUAGAAUUCUCUUUUGACCUUCUCUCGGCAGCCUUGUUAUCCUCUUCAAUACGUAGUCGGACAAUAUGAUCUUCGAUAUCCAUAUUCUUGCGUUUGUGCUUUAAGUAGUUUUUGAAGUCUUUCCAUAUAGGUGGUAGCUUCUUAAUGAUCGUUGCUACUUGAAAUGCAUCAUUCACAAUCAAACCUACAAAACAGUUUAUGUGAGUACUAAGAACAUUUUCAAUUUGUUUAACUAAGGUAUUUUUCAAAGAUAUACCUUCUGCUAGGAGAUCGUGAAUGAUUACUUGCAAUUCCUGCACUUGAGAGACAACCAAUUUGCUAUCUAUCAUUUUAAAGUCUAACAACCUUACAACAAAGAAUUUCUUAAUUCCCGCAUCCUCUGUCUUAUAUUUUCAUUCUAGUGACCCCCACAAUUCGUUUAAUGUCUUAGUUCUACUAUAAAUAUUAUAGAGGUCGUCUUGGAGACCACUCAAUAUAUAAUUCCUGCAAUGGAAGUCUGAGUGUUUCCAAGAUUCUACAAUCAUGAAAUGCUCUUUGUCUGAGGUUUCCUCGGGCACCUCAGGAGCAUCCUUAGUAGUGAACCUUUAAAGGCAUAGAUUGGUGAGGUAAAAGAACAUCUUUUGCUGCCAUCGCUUAAAGUCAAUGCCCAAAAAUUUUCUGGACUUCUCCGCAGGUGCCAUUGGCUGCAGAGCAUUUGCUUGACUUGUUGAAGCAAUGCUAGUUACCCCCACAGUCGUAGCCGCAUCUUGCAUUUGACUUUCGUUAGUCAUUUUAUUGUCACCACAAGACAAUAAAAUUUAGUAUUUUCAUAAUACUAUUUAUAAAGAUAAGCAACUUUAAACUUUUCUUCUUGUUUCUAGUUAAUGAUGAAGUUUUUAUGACUUCCAAUCGUCAACCGAAUGAUCUUUAACUUGUGAUGAAGAUUUUCUGUCUUCGAAUUACUAGUUAAGUUCAAAUGGAGUACAAAGCUUAAAGCUUUAAUCUCUAAAAACAAGCAAUACAGAUUCUGCAAAAAAUUAUUUCUUAAGAUUGUUAUUUUAUGGUGUUUUCAAGUACGGGAAUUUGUAUUUAGGCACAACAACUUCAACACUAGUUCAAGUUUAAAACAAGAACACUAUGAAGUACAAAAACACAAGAUCAAAGUGAUCUUUCGAAGAAGUGUGUUUUAUUUUUUCAGAAAUUAAGAUGAAACAGAAAUAUAAAGCCAAGUCCCCCGACUUCACGGAGUGUCCUUAAGAAAUAAUUUCCCUCAUUGUACGCGAGGUUUUGGAAUCUUCAUCCCAGGAUAAAAUGACUUUCAAUCCAACUAUAGUGGUACCUCAAAUAAUUGGAUUUGUCGAACUCACUCAACGAUUUGAUUGAUCACAAUGAAUGUUUUGAAGACAAGAAGAGUUUUUAUUCAAGAAAAUUUUUCAUUCAUUUCUAAACCUGUAGAUGAAAGCAGGUUUAUAUAGCCAUCAGAUGCCUCUUCUGAAAGGUGGCAAUGAUUCACUUAAAAGGUGUAUCCUUUGGAAGAGUCAUAUCUAUUCAUUCAAAACAUUAUGUCUUUUUCUGAACAGACACAACUAUCUGAAUAAUCACACCUUUUCCAUACAUAAUAUAUUUUUUGCUCAAAGGUUGUGUCCCUCCAUUUUCCAUUCACACCAAUUAAACCCAACAGAAACAAAUGAAAUCUCACCAUCUUAGUGUGACUGCAUGUUGUUGAAGAGUUUUUCAUUGAAUGAAAAAACGGAUAGGUGACCUCAUCUUAUGGCCUUGGAUAACCUUAACCUUCUGAGCUAACUUUUGGAGUUAAGAUAACUUUAAGAUCUACUAUUUCUUUUUCGAAUAAUGCCAACCAACUCGACCAAGACAUUUAUAUGAAAAAGAUAAAAAAAAAAAAGAUGUGUUAAGUUAGUGUUUUCCCAGCCGACUCGCACACCACCAUCUUUUUUUAGAUUGAAGAAGUAUCAAGAGAAGGUCCACCUCAUCUAAUAUUUAUCGAUAAGUGGGCUUCCCAUAUCAACUUAUUCACUCUCCAAAUAUCCAACCAUGAGUAAGAUCUAUUUCUUAAUACUGGCAACAAGUAUCGAUUGACUUUUACUUUAAUCAUAAGAUUAGAUUCAGUGCCAGACUCUAUGCAUUGUGUUACCACUUAGCAGAGUGCUGUGUUUUUAAUGAACGAUCGAUCGCUACCCCCUGAGUCGCAAUUGACCAUUUCAAUAGACAUAUAGGCAAGGAAACUUCAGUAUGUAUACUUUUCUGUUGAACAUGAGACAACUUGCUUGGGUGUCGAAGAAAGAGAGCCAAAGGGCUAGAUAGAGAGAGGAGAGGGUACUCAAUACUCACCAUUGGCUCUUCACUCCUGUUUUCAAUUAGCAAAAUUAAGAGAGACAUAUCAACAAUUUCAAUACUGUAAAAUAGUUCAAAAUCCUGAAUUUUGCACUGCAUGUAAAAAAGAAAUUCAAAAAUUUAAUCAGUACAAUGAGGUCGGAAAAAAAAUCUCAACAAUGGUUGAUCUAAAAGUUAAUGAACAAAGGAAAAGAGACAUGGCAAAACAAUAAUAGCAAUUUGCCUGAAUUGUACUGGAAUAGAAAAAUUGAAAAGAGGGGAAGAGUCUUAAAACAAAAGAACUUUAUUAUGCAUUCUAACGCUAUAUUCAAAUAUUCUUCCUUCUAAUUAAAAUAGUUGAAGGAUGAAAUUAACAAACAAUGAGAAAACUCGGAAAGAAAGCAGACCAAGAAUUUGAAAUAUGAAAAAGAAUCAAAAACAUGCAAAAUUAAACUGACCGGACGCUAGAAGCCUAAAACCAAGCAAUCCUAGUAGCAGGUUUGAGCAAACAAUUGAUUAAAUGAUAGGGAGAUCCAGCAAAAUUGUUUGAGCAAAAAACAAAGAAAAAGGAGAGCAACCAAAUGAACAGAUGGAGAUCAGAUCGGUGAAAGGAUGGAUGGUAUGGAUAAACGUGGUAAAUUUAGUGCAGGUUGAAUGACACAUAAGGAAAGUAGAGGUGAAGACGAAAAUGCCCUUAGUGCUUAAACAAGCAUGUUGAAACAUAGCCUUUCCUAAUAUAGUAGUAAUAAUAAUAAUCAAUGGCGGAUGUAGAGUAGAAGGUGUGGGUUCCCGGGAACCCACACCCGCUACCGUAAGACUUAAAAUUACAUAAAAAAAUCGUCAAAAGUUAUAAAUAUUAAUAGGUGGGAACCCAUAACUAAACCAAGGGAUAACUUAGUGACAGGAAAGGAGCCCUUGUGAACCCACAAGUUUAUAAUUCUGGAUCCGCCUCUGAUAAUAAUUGAGGAGCUCCUAGGUUGAAAAUCACCAAAACAAAAAAUAGUAUUUACUACUUACCAUAAACGAAGAAAAGGAUAAAUAUAUCCUCAUAACUAUAGUAGGUAUAGGUCAUUUGUUAUAUUUUGAGUACAUAUAUAUUCUUAUCAUUAAUAAAAUAGUACGUAUAUGUUCCUCAGAUUAAUGUCAAAGGCAUAUAUGUAUCCAAAGUAUGACGGUGAUCAUAUGCAUAUCAUGUACCAUAGUUCAAUGGUAUAUUUAUCUCCUUUUCGUUUUAAUUUUUGUAACCCCAAUAAUUAACGGAAACCUACUAUCCAACUCAAUAGAAUCACUAUCCGAUCUUGUCUCAAUUAAAAUUAAAGGAACACCUAACAUAUGCAUUUUUCUCACUCUUGUAACAAUAUAUACACAUAAGCCAGUAACACGCACUACUAUCAAUUUUAAAAAAGAAAUCAUUAACUUGUAACACCUAAAAACAACAUCCAAUAAAUUCAUGUCUCAAUUUUUCAGCGAAAUUUCAUCGAAAAAAUACAAUCCACCACCGGUCAGCACCAUAUAGCCACCGUCUAUGUCGAAUAAAAAAACAUGCAUUGGCGAACCACAUCGCACCGCUAGCUCCAACCACCUUCGACCUAAUCUCCACUCCCUCCAACCCGCAAACACCAACGAAUAGCAUUGAUCAAUCACUGUAAUUUGAUUGUGCUUCAAGUUUAAAAGAAAAAUAGAGAGAGUAUUGAAUUUGAAACAAAAAUAGAAAUUGGAUCGAGUUGGUCUGCAAAGGUUCAAUGGGUUUAUUGAGUUGAAUAGGGAGUUUGAAUUAAUUAUUUUAAAUAAAAAAUUAAACGAAAAAGAAACAAAUAUAUCCCAGAAUUAUGAUAAAUAAUACGUAUAAAUAAUACGUAUAUACUCUACAUUAUACUUUGUGUACAUAUAUGUCCCUACCGUUAGUGUCAGAGAUAUACAUAUAAUUUCAUUAACGAAUAUAUACGUAUCAUUUAUCAUAAUCCCAAUAUAUAUUUACUCUUUUUCCGUACAAUAAAUAAGGAACACAAACUAACCGUCCACCCUGGAAAGUCUACCAAGGUACUACUACCAAUUACUAACAAGACAAGGAGUGGUAUUUGUUAUAGUUUGAGGCUUAGCUUUACUAGCCGAAGCUCCUGGACUCAAAAUCUAUCUUCCAAGACCCACAUCCUCAUUUCGUUGUCUCCGUCAAUCAGCCAUUAGCGUAUGUAAUUAAUUUGCGUAGUGGCAUGUUCGUAUCAGUGGUGAAACCGAGAUAUUUACUAAGGAGUUCAUAAGUGAACAAAUGAAUUAACCAAAGAUGGUCAACAUCUAAUAUAUAUACAUAAAAUUUAAUUUUAAUCAUGUAUAUAUAGCAUAAUUUUUUGUCGAUCUGAACCCCCUCGGCAAAGGGUAGAUCCGCCACUGGUUCGUAUAUUUUACGCGGACCCUUAAUGAGUCUAAGAUUAGAUAUUUGGUUUCAUCAACACAUUCUUCGUACAGACUGCAAAUAAAGAAAAACGGAGAAUGAAAUUGGCAAGCUUGUGACGUGACUAUAUGAAAGCAGUAAUGGUCCUGCAAGUGAAGUGAUGAAGCGGAUGAUUUCAUAAACUUCAAAAGAAAAAAAGACAGAGAAAUAAUACUGGAUAAUGUCAUUACAUAAGCACGGGAAACAAUCCCUAAGAUCGAAUACAUUUGAUUAUAUCAGAGUUCAGUAAGUGCUGAAGCCAAGUUGAAAUUAUAUGCCCCGUAUUGCAUAAAGCAUAUAAAGCUGAAAUGCGUUUAAGAUAUACAAUCCACUUGUUGCUAAUCUUACAUCCAAAACCUUUAUGUAGAUUUGAAUACCAAAAUCAAAACUUCCAAAACCUUUAUGUAGAUUUGACCAUAAAAGAAUAAUCUUCAUAGGUUAAGAUUCCUUUUUAGAAGUUUUGAUAAAAUAAAGAAAAAAACCGCACUCUCCCUUAGGAGCGGAGCCAGCCUCAGAAAAAUAUAUUAUUUAUACGUGAUUAAAAUUCAUUUUUAUAUGAUUAUAGUAAAUGUUAAACUCCCUUUAACUAAGUUUUCUUUGAAUAUAAAACCCUUAGUUAAAAUCCUAAUUUUUUUAAUUUUUUUUUUGAAUAUGAAUCUCCUUCAUUAAAAUCCUGAUUCCGCCUCUGCUCUCCCUAGUUAAAAAACAUCACCCAAUCUAGAGCCUAAUUACAAAAAAAAAUAGUGUUCUUCUAUGCUUCCCUUUAGAUCUACGCUUCCCUUCAGAUUAUUUAAGAAAGUGAGGACUAAUCAAAUCAAUUAUCUCAAGGAACUCAACACGCUUCUUUCCAUCAAAAAUCUCAUCACAAAUUAUGACCUCCUUGUUUUGAGGAUCCUAUAAAGGCCCGUAAAAGAAAGAGUCGGCAGCGCAAAGAGUGGAGAUACGCUAUCAGAAAGCAUUCCCUUCUUUUCACCAACCUCUCGGAUAAACCAUAGAGAGCAUCAUGUUAGAUAUCAACACUAGAAAGCUAAAGCCAGAUUACACACCCAACACAAUGCAACAAAAGAUUUGACAUACUAAUUACAGUACUACAUAGACCGGUAGAAGACAGCAGUCCAAAUGCGCUAAGCAUUCCAAAACUUCCAAUAGAUACUUAAGAUGGCAUCUAGGUAGACAAAGGUAGCAAAUCAGAAGCAUGCAAAAAGCCAGCAAUUGUGGCAAAGAACAUAGAUUAGAACCAGUAUAUUCUUUCUCAACAUAUAUACCACUAGAUAAAAUUUCCGGUGUUAAAGUAAGCAUAUCGAAUGAAAAUAACAAAUUUACAUCUUUGUUCAUAGAAGAGACGAAAUGAAGCUCAACCCACGAAAACAUUAAAGAUCAAUCGAACAACUACAAACAUGUAAAAGAAAAAACUGCAUCAAUAGCCAUUUCAGAUAAGAGUGAGCAACUACUUCAGUCAAAUGUUAAAAUUUAUGCCACAUGGAAAGGAUGUUGCAACAAGGUUUCACCGGGAUUCGCUUUAAAGGAGAGUGAAAAUUAGGGGCCAGAAAAACUCAAGACAUACUAAUUCAAGGGAAGGAAAAGAGAACCAGAAAUCUUAAAUAAAUGUAAAGGAAAUUAUUCAUUAAUCAAGCUCAUACAACAAUUUCUUGUUUACAACUACAAAGCCAAGACCCACAACUUAGAUAAUUACACACACACAAUUCAGAUUACACCAAACACAAUAGACAAAGGACUUUCAACAAAAACAGCUGAUCUGCAUGCACUUGUUUAACCAGAUAUGUCAAUUGCCUUGACCUCAGGUUUCUUCUCCUCUUCUUUCGGAACUGUUACAGUGAGCACUCCAUCCUCCAUAGCUGCCUUAAUUUCCCCUGUUUUCGUAUUCUCCGGCAGCCUAAAUCUCCUCAAAAACUUGCCACUGCUCCUCUCCAUACGGUGCCACUGAUCAUUCUUCUCCUCUUGCUCUCUGCUCCUCUCACCGCUUAUCUGUAGUAUCCUUCCUUCUUCAACUUCGACUUUCACUUCCUCUCUCUUGAUCCCCGGAACGUCUACUUUGAAGAUGUGCGCUUGUGGGGUCUCUUUCCAAUCGAUUCUUGCAUUUGCGAAAGCAGAGGUUUCACGAGCAGAGGAGGGGGUGUUGGCGAUUGUGCUUGAAAUUGGGAAGCCUUCGAACGGAUCCCAUAAGUCGAGGGAGAAUGGGUCGAAGAUGUUGCUCCUGCGACCACCGAAGAAGCUUGGAAUCAGAGACAUUUUUUGGGGACUUUGUCGUUUGAAGAAGACAAAAGAUGAACUAUUACAGAGCUUGAAUUUUUCUUUGAUUGUAGCGUUUAAUAAUUUGCUGAUGACCAAUGAGAGAAGAUGUCGUGAUAUUUAUAGGCGAUGAUGAACCAAGAAACUUAAUGUAAUUGGAGUGUAAUCUAGGAUGUUCUCAGAGUAUUCGACGAUAUUCCCCACAAAGCUAUCAAAUUCGAGGCUAAUCUAGGAUGUUCGUCGGUUGAUUUUUGAUAAGAGAAAUAAGAAGCUUCUACACUAUUCCAGAUAUUUUUUCUGAAGGGUCACUGCACAUUUUUGCUCGUGAAGUCAUAAGGUCGAUUGUAUUCGUCUUAAAUUAAAAAUGGAACGAAAGAAAUAUAUAAUGACUUGACGCUCUUACUAUAUUCGGACUUGUUUCGUCAAUUUGGAUCCUUCUAUUCAUUACAUUGCCAAUUCAAUUCUUAAAUUCAACAAAAUCACAUAUGUAAGCAAAUUAAAAUAAAGAGAUUAAUUUUAGAAAAAAUUACAGAAAUUAGUAUCCUUAAGAUUAUAAUUACAAUAAAUAGCAACACUUUUUUAAAAUUAUAACUAGCAAAAGUAGCAAUAUUUUACUUAUUUCAUAGUAAUAGAACAAUAUGUAUUUUUCAAUUGUGCAUAUAUAUUUAUGAGUAAUAUAUAUAUAUUUGUAUAUGUAUUUAUAUAGCAACAUUUUACUUAAAUACAAAUACAAUUUACUAUUUUUCGUAAUUAUAAAACUGUUGCUAUAAAAGUUAUAAUUAAGGUUUAGAGUUACUAUUUCUGAAACACUUCCAUUAUAGGAGCUCUUAGAUUGAGUUGAAAAUCACCAAAACAAUCUGGCAGCUCAUAAUCGAUAUGUCUAUUUCAUUUAAUUCAAUCAUACUUUUAUUAUAUUAUUUUUAAUUAAUUAUUAUAAAUUAUUUAUAUAUUCAAAAUUAAUAAUAUUUAAUGAAAAAAUAAAAUAGACAUAUAUAACAUAUUUGUUUCUUCAAUUGUAAUUUUAUUAUAUCACUCCUAACUAAGUAUUAUAAGUCAUCUAUAUAUUAAAAAAUAAUAAUAUUUUAUAAAAUAUAAAAUAAACAUAAAAUAAUAAAUUAAUGUUUGAUGUUUUAAAUUAAAUUGACGUCUUAUAUUGAAUCCACUUAAAUUUUUUUCACAAGUAUUUAAUUUUUUUUAUAUCAUUUGUAACUAAUUAUUAUAAUAAUUUAAAACAUAUCUAAUUCGCUGCUUUAAUCGUGAUUUUACUAUAUCAUCCCCUAAUUAAUUAUUAUAAAUUAUUUAAGUAUUAAAAAAUUAAUAUAAUUUCAUAGAAAAAGUAAAAUAUACACAAAAUAAAAGUUAACUCUUAAUAUCUUAAAUUAACGUGUCGACUUAAAUAAGAUUCAUUUAAUUUUUUUUAUAAAUAUUUUUUAUAAUAGUUUUUUAUAUUACUUUUAAUUAGUUAUUAUAAUUCAAUUAAAUAUUAAAAAAUAAAUACUAAUAUUUAAUAACUGACACAAAAUAGAUAUAAAAUACUCCCUCCAUUUUAUUUUACGUGUCAUAAUUUGACUAAGGAUGGAGUCUAAAAAAUAAAAAAAGACUAUGAUUUUUUUAUCAAAUUGUCUUCUAUUAAAAAAAAUGUACUACUAGUAUCUUUAAUUAAGUGGAACCUCAUAAGUUGUACCAAUAAAGAUAAAAGUGAAAUUGUAUCUUUAAAUAAUUAUUAAAUAAGAAAAUAUGCAUUCUUUUUUAUAUAGACCCAAAAAAAAAAUAACGAAACAUAAAAUAGGAUGGAAGGAGUAACAAAUUAAAAAUGAUUGAAUGAAGUAUUUUGCAACGGUAAUAUCUGUGUCAAAAACGACUUACUAAUAUCUAAAUGAUUAAAUUUAAACAAAAUAUUAAAUACAUAGUUGCGAAUUAAGAACUGAAUUAUCAAAAUUUAUUUUUUAUUAGACAUAAAUGAAGCAUAAAAUACGUAAAUAAGGGAAUUAAUUUUUUGUUACUAUUUUAUCAUUUCAAUUCACUUGACAACAUUUAAUCAAGCAUGGAGUAGAAAAAUAAAAUGCUUUUGAAAUUCGUAAAUAAAUAAACGUUAAAUUUUUUACGAUCAUAAAAUAUUUUAUCAAAAAAUAAAACAAAAAUUGUAAAAAUAAAUUGUUUCUUCUCAUCACUCACUACAUGCCACUAUUUACUUACAAUAAAUAGAAAUUAUGUUAGGAACACAAAAUAACCGUCCACCAUGAGAAGUCCAACAAGGUACUACAACCAAAUACCGAACAAAUAGUAGUAGUAUUUGUUAUAGCUCUCGAGGCUUGAGCAUUUCUAGCUGAAGCUCCUGGACUCAAAAUCUACCUUCCUAGACCCACAUCCUCAUUUCGCGGUCUCCGAUUUUGUAAUCCAAAUUUAGUUGAUUCGAUUCUGAAAAGAUCGCGGUGCAACUCACGGUUGAAAUUUUUUGAGGGAUCUGUGAUGGUAGUGUAUUAUAGAAGUGCGACUUAAAGGAUUGAUUUUAAUAUAAUAGUUCUCGUGUGUUAUUAAGAACUUUUACUCCUCCCACUCUUCGAUAUAAUGAAUUCCUCCUCCUCUCUAUGAUUUUUCUCAUCAAAGAUUUUCACUUAAAUCUAUGUGUAUUCAUCUUAUUUUUCUUUUGCUUAUCAUAUUGCUUAUUUAUGUUUGAUUUCAUAUUACUUAAUUUGCAUAGUGGCAUGUUCGUAUAUUUUACACGGACCCUUCAUGAGUCUUGAGAUUUGGAUAUCUUCAAACAAACAGACACUGCAAUAGAGAAAAACGGCAAGCUAGUAACGUGACUAUAUGAAAGCAGUAUUAGACCUGCAAGAAAAGUGAAGGAGCUGAUGAUUCCACAAACUUCAUAAAAACAAAGAAAUAAUACUGAAUAGAUUCACUACAUUUGGCCAUGUCAGAGCUGCAGCCAAGUAGAAGUUGUACUAAAUAUGCCCCACAACAACUCACUUGGCUACUAAUUCUGCAAUCCAAAAACCGUCACACAUAUAAAUCCGAUUACCAAAAUCAAAACUUUAACAGGAAAGUAAUCCUAUAGGUUAAGGCUCCUCCAAAGAAGUUCAGAUAAACUUGUUGUCUUUCACAAGAAUAUGUAAUUUAACACAAUAACUUUAAUAUUAAUUCAAGUUUAAAACAAUAACAUUAUAGAGUUAAUCUUUUUAAGAAAUAUAUAUUUUUUCAGAAAUUUAGAUGAAAUAAAAAUAUAAAGCCAAAUCCCCUAACUUCACAGAAGUUCCUUAAAAAAUAAUUCCCUUCAUUUUAUCCAAAAUUUUUUUAGAAUCUUCCUUAAAAUGACUUUCAAUUCACUGUACCCAAAGUUUUAGAAUCUUCCAAUUAUAAUAAUACCUCAGAUAAUUAAAUUCGUCAAACUCAGCGAUUUGAUUGAUCACAACAAAUAUUUUGAAGACAAAAAGUUUGUAUUUCAGAAAAAAAAAAAUUCCUACCAAAAUCUGUUGAUAAAUGCAGAUUUAUAUAAUCAUCAAAUGCCCCUUCCAAAAAAUGAUAAUGAUUCAUCAAACAAUGUGUAUCCUUUAAAAAAUCAUGUCUGUUCAUUCAAAACAUUUUUUUUUAAACAGACACAACUAUCUGAACAAUUAUUCUUUUACAAAAGAAUUGUGUCCCUUUAUUUUUUAUUCACACCAAUUAAACCCAACAAAACCAACAAAACUAAAUUAACAAAGCACCCUUCACCCAAGUAAAUAUUAUCAGCCAAUUUAGAGCCUAAUUUAGAAAAAAAAAAAAAAAAAAAAAAAAGGAAGGUGCUCCUGCGACGCUUCCCUUUAGAUUCGUCCCUUUAGAUCAUUUUAAGGAAGUAAGGACUAAUCAAACUUAUCAACCCAACAAUAUAUAGAUAGGUGUUAACUCCAUAAUAAAAGAACAAGUAGGAUAAUGCAAUUAGAAAGAGUUGGCAACGCAAACAGUGGAGAUGCACCAGCAGAAAGCAUUCCCUUCUUUUCACUGACCUCCCCAGAUAAAUUAUAGAGAUAACAUCAUGUUAAAUAAAUAUCAACACUAGAAAGCUAAAGCCAGAUUACACACCCAAUACAAAGCUACAAAAGAUUUGACAUACUAAUUACACUAAAUAGACCGAUAGAAGACAGCAGACCAAAUGCACCAAGCAUUCCAAACUUCCAAUAGAUGCUUAGGAUGGCAUGGCAUCUAGGUAGACAAAGGCAGCAAAUCAGAAGCACGCUAAAAGCCAGCAAUUGUAGCAUAGAAUAGAUUAUAUUCUCUCUCGACAUACUACUAGAUAAAAUAUCUAUCAAAUUAAAAGAACAGUCCAGCGUACUAGUAAAUAUAUCAACUAUAACUUACAAAAUCAUAAAAGUCGCACAAUAAUUUCAUUGAAGCUUGAUACUUCGUAAGUGAAUGAAAUUAGACAAACAUAUAUCUUUGUUUAUAGAAGAGAAGAGUAUGAAAUGAAGCUCAACACACAAACAUGACAAAGAUCAAUCGAACAACUACAAACAUGUGGAGAGUGAGCAACAACUUUAGUCAAAAACAUACAAAUGCAAGGAAGGAAAAAGAGAAACAACAAUUUAAAAUAAAUGCUAAAAGGAAAUUAUUCAUUAAUCAAACUCUCACAACAUUUUCUUGUUUACAACUCCAAAGCCAAGACCCACAACUUAGACAAUUACACAGACACAUAAUUCAGAUUACACCAAACAUAACUUACUAAGGACUUUAAAACAACAGUUGAUCUGCAUGGACUUGUUUAACCAGAGAUAUCAAUUGCCUUCACCUCAGAUCUCUUCUCCUCUUCUUUAGGAACAGUUACAGUGAGCACUCCAUUCUCCAUAGCUGCUUUAAUUUCCCCCAUCUUCGUAUUCUCCGGCAGCCUAAAUCUCCUCAAAAACUUGCCACUGCUCCUCUCCAUACGGUGCCACUGAUCAUUCUUCUCCUCCUGCUCUCUGCUCCUCUCACCGCUUAUCUGUAAUAUCCUUCCUUCUU
This 42892-nucleotide long non-coding RNA is filed under the name Capsicum annuum. RNAcentral's name for it is "long non-coding RNA (CANN_LNC013223)". Lineage: Eukaryota; Viridiplantae; Streptophyta; Magnoliopsida; Solanales; Solanaceae. The record is from RNAcentral.